CAAGGUGAUGAUGCACUCAACAAGUGGGACAAUCGAGCAACAAUUACACAAUAGUAUCCUCUCAUGAGCAAUAAGCCUAGUAUGAGACUGAAGUCAUGCCACGAACACAGUGUGCAGAUGAAGCUGACAGGAAGCUGGCAAGGGCCACAGGAUAAAAUAACAGAAUGUGAAAGCUUACCUUUCUCCAGACUAAGACUCCUAAUAUUGCUAAUAUCCUCCAUACUGUACUUCAAACUGAGAAACCUCCAUGUGCUAACAAUAGAUGGUGAGAUGUGUACCGCUCUUCAGG
Molecule: long non-coding RNA, 289 nt
Organism: Carassius carassius (crucian carp)
Lineage: Eukaryota; Metazoa; Chordata; Actinopteri; Cypriniformes; Cyprinidae
Exons: 3
Source: RefSeq, a predicted model, not a curated record